This 3317-nucleotide long non-coding RNA is filed under the name Piliocolobus tephrosceles (Ugandan red Colobus). Its description in RNAcentral is "lncRNA (ENSPTEG00000034827.1)". Lineage: Eukaryota; Metazoa; Chordata; Mammalia; Primates; Cercopithecidae. The record is from RNAcentral.
UGGUCAUAAAAUAACCAUACAAAAGUGGUAAAAAUGUUUAAUUCAUUACUAAAUAACAAAGUAAAACACGCAAAACAAGUGUUCGAUGAGGUAAAAGAACAUAUUAAAUCUACAGCGAAAGAAGCACAAAAAAAUAUAAAUUAUCCAUUUUGUAAAGCACCAUGUAAUAUAGAAAAUAUAAAAAACACAAUUUUUAUUAAUGAAGAAGAAAUAAUUAUAAAUAAAAAUUUUUAUAAAAAUAUAUUUAGUAAUAAAAAAAAUGACAUAAGACAAAAUAAUAAUAAUAGUACUAAUAAUAAGGAUAAAAACCUUGAUAGUUGUCUUGAUAACACUAUUACUCCUAUUAGUACUAAAAAUAGUAGUCAAAAACAAACAAAUAAACAAAAUGAUAAUAUUUUUACAUGUAAUGAAAAUAAUAUAGUAAUAACAGGGGAUUAUAAUUUUGAUUUCCAAGUUGAAAUAGUAAAUGAAAAUGAAGAAAAUAAAAUUAUUGUCAAUGCAUAUGACAAAUUAAAAAAAGUAAAAAUACCAUGUACAUAUAAAUGGUCUAAAUUAUAUUAUAAUAAAUUAUGUAACACUAUAGAAAACAGUUUAACUUAUAAUAAAAAUAAUAGUAAUAAUAGUAAUUCGGAUGAAAUAAUUAAUAAUAAUUUUUGUCAAAAUAAUGAUAACAAUAUUAAACAUAUUAUUACUGUUAAUAAUAAUAAUAAUAAUAUUUAUGAAAAUGAAUAUACAUUAACAUCUGAAGAUAUAGGUAUGGUCAUAUUUGUAGAAUGUUCUUAUAUACCAAGCGAACAAGUAAAUGUUUUUUCUGAAUCAUCCCAAUUUGAAAUAAACAAUAAUUCUGCUGAAGAUUUAAAAAAUAAUAACAACAACAACAAUAAUAAUAAUAAUUGCUAUAAUAUAAAUAAUAACACAUCCAUGAUUAGUAGUUCUAGUAGUGAUAGUAGCAACAGUGGGUAUAACACCAUUUACAAUAAUAUAUAUACAAAAUCAAAUAGCUCAACACAAAAUAGAUUAAAUAAUGUUAGUAAUAUAAAAAAUAGAAGUAGUAAUAAUAAGUAUUAUGGAGUAGCAAAAGCAGAAAUAGGUCCUAUAAAUUUAAGUGAAAAAACAAAAAUAAUGUUAGAAGAUAUAAUACAUAAUGACACAAUAAAAUAUCCUAUAUAUAUAUUAAAAAAGGGAGAUAACAAUAAUGCUAAAAAUAUUAGUAAUAACAGUAAUAACAAUAAUAACAAUAAUAACAAUGAUUUUGAAAAUAUAAAAAGGUAUAAUAAUGACAGGAAUUAUGAUAGCCAUUACAAUAGCUAUGAAAAUGAUGAAAAAUAUGUAGAAAGUUUUAAUAAUAAUUCUUUUUAUACAUAUGAUCAUAAUAACAUGAACAAUAAUAAUGUAAAUCAUAUAAAUAAUAACAAUAAUUACAAUAUUAGUGAAAAUCUAAUGGUUUAUAAUACAGAACAAAAUGAAAAUGAUAGUAUUUAUAUAUUACAUAUACAUAAAAACGAAAUAAAAAUAAUUAAUCAGAAUAAUAAAAAAAAAAAAAUUUUGUCUUAUAGUUAUAAUACAAUUUACCCUUACAUCCAAUUUAUAAAUAAAAAUAAAAAAGAUUUUUUAUUAUAUACAAAUAAAAAUGAAUAUUUCUAUUGUAGAUGUUUAUAUAGAAAACAUCUUGAUCUUAUUUCUAUUCUUCUCAAAUAUAUGCAUGCUAAUUUAAUAAUUAUAAAUGAAUAUAUCUUUAAUAAUAUAAAUGAUAACUUUGAAAAUACAAGAGUUAAAAACAUUUUUAAUAAUGUUGAUGUAAAUUACAUUUUAGAAAAUAUAAAUAAAGAAUUACUAGUCAAUCAAAAAUUAAACCAACAAUAUAAAAAUAAAUUAACUAAAAUACAAAUUGAAAAAAAUAUGCUUGAAGAGGAUAUGAAAAACACAAUAGAGGCUUUUCAAAUACAGUUGGACACGGUAAAAAAAGUUAAAGACGGGAACGAGUUGGAUAAAAAAAGCGAACAGUUAAUGAAAGAAAUAGAAAUAUUACAAGAAAAAUAUAGGAACGUAGAUUUAUUUUUUAAAAAUAAAUAUGAGCUUUUAUUAGGCGACAUUGAGAAAUAUAAAAAAAUUAUCCAAGAAAAUAAGUCUAAAACAAAUUCGAAUGAGGAAGAGAAACUACGAACAAAGCUGCAAUGUGUUGAAAAAGAAAAGAUCGAAUUACUAAACGAAAAUAAAAAAAUAAAUAAUUUAUAUAUUGAAGAAAAAAAGAAUAAGACAGAGUUACAAAAUAAAUUGGAAGCUUUAAAUUUAAAACUGGAUAAAGUUAAUAAAUCUUUACAGAAUGAAAAACUAGAAGAGAAAAACUACUAUCAACAGUUAAAAGAGUUGGAAGAAUUAAAAAAAAACAACACGACGCUAAAAAAAGAAAAUAUAAAAAUAUCAAAUGAGCUUAAUAUAUUACUAACAGACAAAAAUAGAUUAACAAAAAUGGUUGACUCUUUAACGAAAGACAUUGAGAAAUCCAAAACUGGCACAUGUAUAAGAAGCCUAAACAAUAAAAUGGAAAUAGAACAUAAUGAAAAAUUAUUAAAAGAAGUUACAUCUUUAAGGGAUGAAAAUGAGCUACUUAAAAAGAGAAUUAAAAAAAUGGCAAAUUUUAAUACCUCGACCGCAUCUUAAUAUUUUUUCUAUACGCGUAUUGUUUUAUAAGCUCUGUACGUUUUGUUUUUUUACAUUUCAUUUUUUUACGUUUCAUUUUUUUACGUUUCGUUUUUUUACGUUUUGUUUUUUUACGUUUCGUUUUUUUACGUUUCGUACUUUUUUUUUUUUUUAUGUUUUUUUUUUUAAGUUUCGUACUUUUUUUUUUGUUUUUUUUUUUUUACGUUUAGUACAUUUUGUCCUAUUUUGUCCUAUUUUGUCCUAAUUUGUCCUAUUUUGUUCUAUUUUGUUCUAUUUUGCAUUAUUUUGCUCUAUUUUGUUUACGUCUGGUCGUUUUGUCAUAUUUUGUUUACUUUUCGUGCGUUUUGUCUUAUUUGUUAAGUUUUUUUUUUUUUGUACGUUCUGUAUGCAUUUUUUUGUUUACACCAUUCUUUUUAAAUAAUUUAUGACUUGAUUGACAAUACUACAAGGUGGCACAUAAAGACCACUAAUCAGUGAAAAAUUAGUUCAUUCUUAUUUUUUUAAAAAGUAAAAAAAAAGUGACAAAAAAAAAAAAAGUGACAAAAAAAAAAAAAGUGACUAAAAAAAAAGUACUAAAAUACGUUUUUUUAAUUUUUCAUUACCCUCAUUUGAACACAUCAUCUUUUGAUUCUUACUAGGAACUUAAAUACAUGAAU